GCCAGUGUGGUGUAGUCGUUUGACUGUUGGACUCUGAUUCUGGAGACCAGGGUUCAAUUCCCAGCUUGGCCA
Molecule: non-coding RNA, 72 nt
Organism: Phrynosoma platyrhinos (Desert horned lizard)
Lineage: Eukaryota; Metazoa; Chordata; Lepidosauria; Squamata; Phrynosomatidae
Source: the annotation of a GenBank genome assembly